RNAcentral lists this unclassified non-coding RNA (388 nucleotides) under fungal sp. RNAcentral describes it as "partial internal transcribed spacer region". The stretch from base 1 to 46 matches the Rfam family "Eukaryotic small subunit ribosomal RNA", at positions 1786 to 1831 of the family's 1831-position model. Lineage: Eukaryota; Fungi. The record is from RNAcentral.
AAGUCGUAACAAGGUUUCCGUAGGUGAACCUGCGGAAGGAUCAUUAACACGUAUCCACGUAUCAACCCCAUGUGCUCUUUUGGUCUCGUACCCUGCCAGUGCAGAGAAAGUUGGACAGAAUUGGUCGAAUGGUGAGGGGCGGAGAGUCAAAUCUUCGUCUCGUGACCGGUUCUGUCUGUGUGCUUUCUCGCCUUUUAUGCUGGUCAGGCUUGUGUUCUUUUCACCAUUGGAAUCAAACCUUUUUUUAACAUUAAACCCCUAGUACCAUUUGUUACUGAAUCAAUGUUUAAAUGAAUGUGAAAAAGUCUUUCAUUAGGCUUUUUUCCUCUUUGUUUAAAUAACGAUACGAAACGCUUGACAACUCUUAGCAACGGAUAUCUUGGCUCUC